GUGGAAUCGAAUGUAGCACAUGAGACUUU
RNAcentral lists this non-coding RNA (29 nucleotides) under Cricetulus griseus (Chinese hamster). The record is from RNAcentral. Lineage: Eukaryota; Metazoa; Chordata; Mammalia; Rodentia; Cricetidae.